AUUUUUAAUUGGAAUCUAGAAUGAAUGGUUGAAUGAAAUAUAAUCUGUUUUUAUAAAAAUUUUUUAAUUUUAUUAUUUAGUUAAAAAGCUAAAAUAAUAAUUAGGGACGAGAAGACCCUAUAGAUUUUUAUAUUAAUUUAAUUAUUUUAAUAAUAUUUAUUUAAUUUUUAUACUUUUUAAUAUUUUAUUGGGGGGAUAAAAAAAAUUAUUUAACUUUUUUAUUAUGAAAAUUAUUAUAAAAAUUUUUUUGAUCCAUAAAAAUGAUUAAAAAUUUAAAUUACCUUAGGGAUAACAGCAUAAUUUUUUUAUAAAGUUCAUAUUAAUAAAAAAGAUUAU
This 336-nucleotide ribosomal RNA is filed under the name Aprionus brachypterus. RNAcentral's name for it is "partial 16S ribosomal RNA". Lineage: Eukaryota; Metazoa; Arthropoda; Insecta; Diptera; Cecidomyiidae. The record is from RNAcentral.